UUCCGGUUGAUCCUGCCGGAGGAUACUGCUAUUCGGUUUCGACUAAAACAUGCAAGUCGAGAGUCUUCGGGACUCGGCGAACUGCUCAGUAAUAGGUGGUCAAUCUACCCUAAGGUUGGGGAUAAUCUCGGGAAACUGAGGCUAAUAUCCAAUAUUCGUUAAUGCCUGGAAUGGUUUAACGUUAAAAGUUCCGACGCCCUAGGAUGGGACCGCCUCUCAUCAGCCUGUUGGGGGUGUAAUGGACCUCCAAAGCUAUAACGGGUACGGGUCAUGAAAGUGAGAGCCCGGAGAUGGAUUCUGAGACAUAAAUCCAGGUCCUACGGGAUGCAGCAGUUGCGAAACCUUCACAAUGCACCAACGUGUGAUGAGGGAAGCCGGAGUGUCUAUGCUCUGCAUAGACUUUUGUCGAGUUCAAACAGCUCGGCGAAUAAGGGGUGGGUAAGACGGGUGCCAGCCGCCGCGGUAAUACCCGCGCCCCAAGUAGUAUCCGUAAUUAUUGGGUCUAAAGCGUCCGUAGCCGGUUUUGUAAGUCUUCAGUGAAAUCUCGUAGCAAACUAUGAGGCUUGCUGAGGAUACUGCAGAACUUGGGACCGGGAGAGGGUAGGGGUACUCCCAGGGGAGGGGUUAAAUCCUAUAAUCCUGGGCGGACCACCUGUGGCGAAGGCGCCUACCUAGAACGGGUCCGACGGUGAGGGACGAAACCUAGGGGAGCAAACGGGAUUAGAUACCCCGGUAGUCCUAGGCGUAAACGAUGCCCGCUUGGUGUUACAGGCCUUUUGGGGGCCUGUAGUGCCG
Molecule: ribosomal RNA, 795 nt
Filed under: uncultured archaeon
Lineage: Archaea
Description: bacterial SSU rRNA
Rfam family: Archaeal small subunit ribosomal RNA
Source: RNAcentral